GUUACACAUUAUUAACAAAUUAAACCAAAAGUUAAACAUGAGUUUAGGAAAAUAGAACCGAAAUAAGAGAGUGCAGAGGUUUCUUCCUCUCUGUCUUUCACGCUCACGUCUGACUGUCACUCUGCUGCCCUCGGCUUCCGUUUCUUCCUCUCUGUCGGUUUUCUGCUGCCGCAAGGCAGCUGUCUGCCUUCUGUCCUCCCUCUGACUUGCAAUCCCGCGCCCUCUCCCUCCUUUUAUUUCUUUUCCUGCUCCAUUUUCCAGUCCCCCCUCUGCUGUCUCUCACGCUGCCCCCCAAAGGCAGCUUCCUGUCAGUUCUCUUUUUAUUUCCUCCAGCCCCCUGUCAGUCUCCCCUACUCGUUCCCUUUAUUAUUCUUCCUAUUCUGCUGUCCGUGUCAGCCUCUCAAUCCCGUCCCAUUUGUAGCAUUUUCUAUUAUUUUCUUUUCAGCCAGCACAAUCCACUUCUUUCUUUUUAUUCUUCUUUUCCUUUUCUUAUUACUUCCACUCUUCUUUGUCUACUGUUUUUCUUUUCUUUCUGUCUCAGUGCUCUCUCUCUUCUGCCUGUUUUAUUUAUGUUCUUUUCUUUCCGCCAGUCUCCCACUCCUCUCUGUCAGUGUUUCCACUUUUCUUCCUUUUAAUUGAAAUUGAUCAUAAAACACAUUUAACUGCACAAUAACACAAGGUAAGGUAAAAUGCCACAAUUUUAACACAAAAACAUCACAAAGACUUUAGAAAUAAAUGGUAUAAAUGCAUGAAAUAUAUGAGUGAUCAAAUACCCCCAAACUUACAUUUUUGCUAGUCCUCGAGCAAAACGAAGAAAACAAGAACAAGAAGUAACAAGAAAAACAUUAGCUUCCCUCUAUGUGACCUUCAUAGAAUUUCAUUUAAGAAAACAAAUCAUCAAGAACCAUAGCUAGCAUCAAGGAACUAAUCCAAGUUCAUCUUCCUAAUUCAAAUAUUAGCAAUAAUCUUUGAAUCAUCCUUGAAGUGUAGUGUGUGAGAUAGCCAUGCUAAUGCAAUUUCAAGUUUUUUAUUUUUAAAAUCAUCAUAUGCAAAUUAGCGACCAUCUCACGGGAUAUGCACUCAAUCACAACAUGUGUUUAGUUUUAAUGUGUUUCGCUCAAAGAAUCAAAUGUGAAAUUUCUACCAUAAGCUUGCAUAAAGAUCACUUCUCCACAGUCAUAAUUGCAAAACUUAAAUCAAGAGGACUUUUAUUGGAUGUAAUGAGGUUUAGGGAUAGGGUUAUUGAAACGAUAGAAUAGGAAAACACAAGUUCCAAGCUACAUUGCAAGCAAUUCUUUUCUUUAGAUUUAUAAGAACUCAAGCUCUCCAGCAAUUCUUCUAGCACCUCCAACCACACCCUAAAACUGAAACUUUAAAAACUUUUUAUUUCAUUUGUAUACAAUCUUUCUUUUUCUUUUCUCUUUUUUUUUUUAUUUUUUUAUUUUUUUUUUAUUUUUUAUUUUUUUUAUUUUUUAAUUUAUACAAACAUGAAAUACCCCCACACUUAUUCUUUUGCCAAACACCUUCAGAGUACUUCACAAACGUUUCUCAUAAGACAAUCUCGCAUUGCUCGCUUGGAAAGGGUAAGGAAAAAAUUUCAGGUAUAAGGGUAGACAUAUCUUGGUGAUAAGAAAUAAAAAGGCUCAACAUACACGGCUCAAAUUGGCAAUCUAUAUGAUAUCAUUUUCUUUGGGAAACAUGGUUAUUUGGGUCAUAGUGGUAAACCUAAUGCCUCUAUCAUUUCCAAGUUCAUGCAGUCAAUGACAACAUUUCGAAAGAUCGUUACGCAAGUUCUAGAGAUGUAUCUCACAUAAGUUCAUCACACAUAAAAAAAUAGGAGUGUAUGAAAAAUGCACACACUUUCAAUAGGCUCAAAAACUCACAUAGGAUGUAUAUGGUCACUAAAUUCACAUAUGAAGCUUUAAGUCAUGCUUUAGUUUCACAUCAACAAGGCUAUGUGCAUUUGGUUUUUCAAAGAUGAUCAAACAUGUACAAAACUAACAAGAGAAUUAGGAAUUUCACAAAACACAUGUUAACUAAGUUCUUUGAUGAUCAUGGUUCAAAAUUUGAUCCAAUUAUAUCAUUGGGUCGGGAAACUAACAAAAAUCUAAUUCAAAACAAUAAGGGAAACCAGACAAUAUUUUUGGAUUUUUAAAUUUUCUGAUUUUUUUUUUAAUUUUUUUUUUAUAUAUAUAUAUAUAUUUUUUUUAUUAUUAUUUAAAAGAAAACAAAACUAAUUAAGAAAACAAAAAGCAACAACAUGGAAACAAAUGAAACUCGUUCGUAGUUGAAGGUACAAAAAAAAUUUCAAUUUGGUCAUUUUUUAUACUCUUUACCCCCAAACUUAAACUGGACAUUGUCCCCAAUGUCAGAAACACUAUAAUGCAAUUAAAAAUAAAAUAAAUAAAUAAUAAGAAACAAAAUAAAGCAAUUGGACUGAAAACUUCCCUAGUUUGCAGUAAAACCAAGCGAUGACCCCCCAAGCUAAAAUUCUGCAAUCAACUUCAAGGGUGGAAAGAACCAAAAGUUCCUGCAAAGAAAAGAAAUAAUUCAGUUAAGUAACGCAAGAAAAUGUAAAAUUGAAAAUCACGAUAAAAGACAAUGAAUAGAACUAAUAAGUGAUCAUUGGUCGUGCUUGUUGACUUUCCACAGCUUUCCUCUUGAACGGGGUGACACUUAGCUUUUUACUUGCAAGUGAUGAUUUGAUGAUAUUGUACGGCGAAGCUUUGCUCUUUGGUGAUGUUGUUGAAGCUUCUUGAGUUCUUCAACUCAGAUUCCUUCUGCUCUCGAGUUGAUUGUGCAGGCUCAAUUCCUUUUUUGUUCUCCAAGCAGAUGUGGCAGCUUCUCUAGUUCUUCAUCUCAGACUCCUUCUGCUUGGAUGAUUGUGCAAGCUGCAUUCUUCUCUGCUUGUUUCUUCUGCACGACGGGCAGGCACGAGGGAAAGGUGUUGGUCUGUUUCUUUCUUCAAUCUUUCCAAGUGCCCACCUCUUGCUCUCUUUCUCCUUGUCCUUAGUUGAGGAUGAAUCAGCACGUUGUCUCCACAUGCUUCGAGGUAUCAUCUUCACUUCCCUUAGACGUGAGAGACGAAGCGAAGGCAUAAGAUGAUGAGUACUCGAGAGCAGGUGCUGACUGGAGAAAGGACAGGGAGAAAGCAUGAUAUGAGAUACUCGUGCUCUCAACCUUUAUGAUAUGAAAUACUUGUGCUCUGGAUGGGUUGUUUGCAGGGGUAUCCCAGGGGAUGAAAAAUACAGAGUGACUCGAGAGGGUUCUUUGGGAAUGCAUUCUCGGAGAUGAAGAAGUGCUGAGAGGGUGUGCCUUUGCUGUGGGAAGGCGAAGGUAGACACUUAUAGGACUUUUCUUCACAACCGGAAAUAUUCCCUCACUCAUUGUCGGCAGCCGGUGGGAUGGAUGAAUAGUACAAAUUACGCGCUUUCUGACAAAGCUGCCCGUAAUUUCCGCAAAACUGCCAGUUGCAUGUGACGAGUGAUGACACGUCUGGACAAAUUGAUCUUUUGAAAUCUGGGGUUCGGCUCGUGGUUUCUGAGCAAGCCCAAAUUUUAAGAAAUGAAACGCCUCUUUUGAGAAAAGAAUCCGACUUUUGAGAAAGGAGCCCCGACUCUUCGAUUUGCGAGAGGACGCUUCUCUGAGGAGCGCCUCUUUGAUUUCUUUUUUAUAGAGGCGUUAAUUUUGUUCCACAACACACUUGAGCUCUCUCCUGUAAACACUCCCUUCUUGCACUUCCAAAAUCUUAAUCAGUCCGACUCUCUUCUUUCUUCACCACCUCUGAAAAAUGUCUGGCCCUUCCGAUCGUCGUUUUGACUUGAACAUUGGUGAAGAGGCAGCUCCGCCUUCACCAGACAACAUAUGGCGCCCAUCCUUCAUAUCCCCUACUGGUCCUCUUACCGUUGGGAUUCGGUGAUGAAAAAAUGACAUGACCGCUGCGGUGGUGGCCCGGAACCUUGUCACCCCCAGAGAUAACAGACUGCUCGCUAGACGGUCUGAUGAAUUGGCGGUUAAGGAGUCUCUGGCUCUUAGCGUGCAGUGUGCUGGUUCUGUGUCCAACAUGGCCCAACGCCUAUUUGCUCGAACCCGUCACGUUGAAUCGUUGGUGGCUGAAAUACAGAGUCUCAAAGAGGAGAUUAGAGGACUCAAGCAUGAAAAUAAACAAUUGCACAAGCUUGCACACAAUUAUGCCACAAACAUGAAGAGGAAAAUUGACCAGCUGCAGGAAAAUGAUAGUCAGAUUUUACUUGAUCACCGGAGGUUUGUGGGUUUGUUCCAACCGCAUCUGCCUUCGUCUUCUGGGGCGGCACCGCGUAGUGAAGCUCCAACUGAUCAACCUCUGUUGCCUCCUCCUUCUGUGGCCCCGCCGACUGCUGAAGCUCCGCCGACUACUGAAGCACCACCUGACCAAUGAAUGCUAUUAGUUUACACAUCAUUGUAAAAUAUUUUUUACUUUUAUGUUUUUUUUUUUUUUUUUUUUUUUUUUUUAAAUCAAUGUAAAAUAUGUAAAUCAAUGUAAAAAGACUUUGUUUAACCUUCCCCCACACUUAAACUAAAUAACACAAACUCACAGAAAUCAACCAAAUAACACAACUAACUGAACAAAACAAAAUGAAAGCAGUAAAGAUAAGGGUGUAAGAAUGCAAAUCUGAUUUGGUUAGCGAUUCCAAAGUCUCCCUUCGUUGAAUGCUUGGGUUGCCUCCCAAGAAGCGCUUGAUUUAACGUCUUUAGCCGGACGAAUCUUUCCUUUAAACUCCACUCUGCUCCAAAGCAUGGAAUUUAUCUUUUAAUGGGAGGUGAUACUUGAAAUGAUUCGGCAAUGGUUUAAAUUCAAGAGUGGGUGCCUGAAUCAUUAAAAUCAGAAACAUGUUAGUAUAAAUUAAAAUUGAAAUUGGAGAAGAUGGCUUACUUUCUUUUUCCGACACAAACUCAAUGACAAACACCACAUCUUUGAACAUUUCCGGGACUUUGAACUUGGCCAGGUUUACUAUGAUGGUUGUGGCUUGUCCCGUGUCAUCAAACUCAACUGCUUUGUGCUUGAUUGUCUCAUGCACAACCUCUUGGAUGUAUUCUUGAUAUGCUUCAACCACUUCAUUCUCUUGAAUCCCUUUUCUUGGUGUGCAAGGUUCUUUGAACGUUUCAAUACCAUCGGGAACUUGUUUUGGUGCACCAAGAAUUGGGAUAUCACUUUGCACCUUUGGAAGAGCUUCCACAAUGUCUUUUUCACUCUCUUUGAUAUUUGGAAUAAAAAACCUGCAAGGACAAAAGACAUUCGGUGGAAUAAUGUUAGAAUGAAGUGAAUUUAGAACUUCCUCACCUGAGUUGGAUGACAUAGGGAUUUGAGGAGCUUGCAGCAAAAAUUCUUCUAAACUGCCCAGGUCGUCCUCCUCCUCUUCUGCUUGCAGCAGCAAUUCAUCCAUGUUCGGGCUGUGUUUGGAUAGUUCUGGGACAGCUUCAUCCUUCAUGUCACCUUCCAAAGUGAUAGCAUCGUGGAUUUCAAAAUCUUCCUUCGAAUUUUCAACACUUGAGCUAGAGAGUUCACUUUGCUCUUGAAUUUGUACCAUGAAUUCCAUAAUCUCUCCCAUUUGACUCAUCAAUUUAUCCAACUUCUUGUCUUGAUUUUGUUGGUCCUGCGUCAAAGAGGUUAGUACUUGAAGAAUUUGAUCACUAUCCAUGGACACCCUUGAAGUUGAUUGGAAUUGUUGUGGGGUAUGCGGUGGUGGCUGCAUAGGCGUUAAAUAAAACUCCUCAGAUUGCUGCCAAUAUCCAUCUUGUUGAGCCUCCUUGGCUUGAUUUUAUGAGCCCUGCACCAAAGAAUUUAAUUCAUCAAAAAUUUGAUUGUAAUCUAUUGACGAAUCUGAGUUUGAUUGGGCAUAUUGUAUAUGAGGUUGUGAAUAGAACUCCUCCUCUUGCUGCCAAUAUCCAUUUUGUUGGAAUUGUUGAGGUUCCUCCCACAUAUAAUUUGAAUGAUCUCUCCAAGCCGAAUUGUAAGCGUUGGAAAACAUGUUGUUGCUUGGUUGAUCAUAGCCUUGAUAACCCCAAGCAUCUUCGUUCACAGUGAAUUGAGGAUGUUGAUAUCCUUGCCCAUAGGGCACAUCAAAUGUAGGGACACUUGGCAUUGUGGUCCGUUCGGCAUUAUGAGUCAAUUGAGCAGUGAGCUGUGCCAAUUGAGCUUGAAUGGUCGCAAGUGCCAUGUCUUGCUCCAUUUGUACCUAAAAUCAAAGAAAGAAAAAUAAAUCAAAUAUCAAAAGUAAAAUACACAAACACCAAUAUAAACAUAAACAAAAACAAAAAUAAAAAUAAAGGGAUUAGCAAAGUUGCUAAUCCCCGGCAACGGCGCCAAAAUUUGAUGUGAGAAUUACUUGACACACAAAUUAAACCCUCUUUUUGACAAUUGUAGUAUAGAUGUAAGUAGGGUAUCGUUCUAGGCCGGGGAUUAGGAGGGAUUGCUAAUCUAUUCUAAAUUAAUUUAAAAAAUAUUAAACAAGACUCAAGGACACAAAACUAGGCUAAAAACUCUAAUAACUCGAAACACACUUAGAAUGACUCAAAAUAAUGAAAACAAUCAAAUUAGACACUAGGAACUGAAAUGGACGGAAAUUGAAUUAAAAGACUAACAACAAUGAAAACUAACUAAAUAAUAUAAUUUAAUAAUGGGGGGGGGUUUGGUUUUGACGAGAAGUAAAUUAAACUUAAAUAAAUUACAGAAUUGACAAAAGCAUGAAAUUAAGGUGAAAGGAUAGAUGACGGACUAGCUAGAGGGUUUUUCUCCACACAUGACACAUAUGCAGCCUAAAUUGAUUUUCAGUUGUUCUUUCAAUAAAUUGUGAAUGACAAUGUUCCAAGUUAAUUAGGUCUGCUUAAAUUAACUCUUAGAUUUCCCUAGAUUCAUUGGAUUGAAUGGAAUACGCAUUACAACCAAAUUAUUCCUCAUCAAAGUCCCUAACUAUGGAAUACGCAUGAUAGAGACAUUCAACAAAGAUCAUUAAGUUCAACGGAAAUCAUAAACAUUGACUAGGCAUUCAUAACUAUGGAAUACGCAUGUUAAUCCAGCCUAGAAUUCACUUAACACGAUUGUGGAUAACAACCUUCACUACUUGUGAAUAUAAGUUCAUAAAGAUUAGGUGAAAUUCACUUAUAUUCUAGCAUCAAAUUCAUGCAUGUAAAUUAAGUAUGCAUUCUUAAUCGACAUACAAAAAUAAGUUAUCAAUCAAGCAGUUAAGCAAAUUAAAUCACAACUCAGAAAUCACAACUGAAGGUAAUCAAUUCAUAUUACAAAUAUAUCCAUGGCUUUGAAUUAACCUCUAGCCAAAAUAAAUUUAGUUACACAUUAUUAACAAAUUAAACCAAAAGUUAAACAUGAGUUUAGGAAAAUAGAACCGAAAUAAGAGAGUGCAGAGGUUUCUUCCUCUCUGUCUUUCACGCUCACGUCUGACUGUCACUCUGCUGCCCUCGGCUUCCGUUUCUUCCUCUCUGUCGGUUUUCUGCUGCCGCAAGGCAGCUGUCUGCCUUCUGUCCUCCCUCU
This 7528-nucleotide long non-coding RNA is filed under the name Malus domestica (apple). RNAcentral describes it as "long non-coding RNA (MDOM_LNC018949)". Lineage: Eukaryota; Viridiplantae; Streptophyta; Magnoliopsida; Rosales; Rosaceae. The record is from RNAcentral.